AGGUGUGGUCAGGCACUAGGGUUGGAGGUGUGGUCAGGUAUUAGGGAUGGAGGUGUGGUCAGGCACUAGGGAUGGAGGUGUGGUCAGGCACUAGGGUUGGAGGUGGAUGGGUUCAGGUCAGAGGAGAUGUAGUCAUUGUUUGUGUGUCUGUAAGUGAUUGUUUGUAUCUGGAGUAAAACUAUUUUUUAUUUUUUUAAGUUGGUCAGGUUAGUGAAUAAAAAGGCAGGAUGUGGACAAAUCUCUUAGGAAGCAACAGUGAUAUGGCCUUCAUCAAAUAUGCAGACGACAUGGCUCUCGUUGCUUGCCUGAAGGUCAAGUCCAUCUCCAGCUAUUCCCAGUUCAUUGACUGCCUCUUGACGCGGUUUGACAAUAGCUUCCUUGACCUUCAUGUCGCCAAGACUAAAAAACUGUACCUUGGUGGAAAGAACGCUGGGAAAUGGAAGCCCUUCUCUCGAGCCUGUCACCAUGGAAGGACGUGGAGCAAGUCACACACAUUAAAUACUUGGGGACAAUUUUCGACCACAAACUUAGCUUCCAGUAAAACACUGACCUCCUCUACAAAAAGUCAAGGCAGCUUAUUUCCCUACUUAAGAAACAAUUCAGUUUUAAUGCAAGCAAACACACUGAUCAUGGUGUACAAAUCCCCGAUCGAGUCUCAAUUACUACAUCCCCUUCUGGUAUGGGAACCUCUCAGUGAGAAACAGGAGUUAUCUGGCACAAGUUGUCCCAGAACAGCAAAACUGUCCGCAGCAAACGGCCACAACUCCAAGAACUGUACACACAAAGCAUCACAAACUGCAAGCAUCCUUCCAAAUGCUGCCGUCAGGUCGGAGACGACAGGUGGAACUCACAAAGAAGAACGGUCCCCCAAAAAAUGUAUCCCCUCUGCAGUGACAAUCCUUAUUAAGACUGAUGAACGGACAUGUAAAUAUUUCAUGUGUUUCAUUCUGACAUUUCAUUAUUUAAUGUGUUUUAUUCUGACAUUUCAUUCUGACAUUUCAAUAUUUAAUGUGUUUUAUUCUGACAUUUCAUUCUGACAUUUCAAUAUUUAAUGUGUUUCAUUCUGACAUUUCA
Long non-coding RNA from Oncorhynchus tshawytscha (Chinook salmon), 1074 nucleotides. Lineage: Eukaryota; Metazoa; Chordata; Actinopteri; Salmoniformes; Salmonidae. The record is from Ensembl.